CGGAGGGUCAUUAAAGAGUUCUACUCUCCCGACCAUCUCGAACUGCCCGAGGAAAUGACUCGUUGCCUCGGCGGGAGGCCCCUGGGAGGGGCCGCUGCCCGCGAGGGCGCCCGCCGGAGACGACGCAUACUCUUGCUUUACAGGCCUCUCUGAGCGAAAACACAAUAGUUAAAACUUUCAACAACGGAUCUCUUGGCUCUGGCAUCGAUGAAGAACGCAGCGAAAUGCGAUAAGUAAUGUGAAUUGCAGAAUUCAGUGAAUCAUCGAAUCUUUGAACGCACAUUGCGCCCGCUAGUAUUCUGGCGGGCAUGCCUGUUCGAGCGUCAUUUCAACCCUCAGGCCCCGCCUGGUGUUGGGGACCCCGCGGCCGCCGCGGGCCCCGAAAAUCAGUGGCGUGCUCGCCGCGAGCCCGAGCGUAGUAAUUCAUCCUCGCUCCGGGACCGCGACGGGCGCCCGCCGUGAAACACCCCACUUAUUCAGGUUGACCUCGGAUCAGGUAGGAAUACCCGCUGAACUUAAGCAUAUCAUUAAGCGGAGGAAAAGAAACCAACAGGGAUUGCCUCAGUAACGGCGAGUGAAGCGGCAACAGCUCAAAUUUGAAAUCCGGCCCUCGGGCCCGAGUUGUAAUUUGCAGAGGAUGCUUUUGGCGCGGUGCCUUCCGAGUCCCCUGGAACGGGGCGCCGGAGAGGGUGAGAGCCCCGUACGGUCGGACGCCUAGCCUGUGUAAAGCUCCUUCGACGAGUCGAGUAGUUUGGGAAUGCUGCUCAAAAUGGGAGGUAAAUUUCUUCUAAAGCUAAAUACCGGC
Molecule: ribosomal RNA, 805 nt
Filed under: fungal endophyte
Lineage: Eukaryota; Fungi
Description: eukaryotic LSU rRNA
Rfam family: Eukaryotic large subunit ribosomal RNA (bases 483-805)
Source: RNAcentral